Eurytemora carolleeae is the source of this 202-nucleotide long non-coding RNA. RefSeq lists it as uncharacterized. Lineage: Eukaryota; Metazoa; Arthropoda; Copepoda; Calanoida; Temoridae. The record is from RefSeq and is a predicted model, not a curated record. The transcript is spliced from 3 exons.
CUGCUGUUAACACGAAAUCUAACGCUGUCAGGAUAAUUGGAAACAUGCUGAAUUAUAUAAAUGAAGAUUUACUUUCAGUCCAAGAAUAUCAGAAUUAUGAAACUGUUUAGAAAUUUGGUAAAGAUUUGGAAUUAUGAAACCAUAUGGUAAUUUGAAAAUUAUUUUUAAAAAUGUCUCCUGAACGAAAAAUGUAUUUUAAAGU